GACGAACGCUGGCGGCGUGCUUAACACAUGCAAGUCGAACGGAAAGGCCCCUUUGGGGGUACUCGAGUGGCGAACGGGUGAGUAACACGUGAGUAACCUGCCCUUGACUUCGGGAUAACUUCAGGAAACUGGGGCUAAUACCGGAUAGGAAUCCUUGCUGCAUGGUGGGGGUUGGAAAGCUUCGGCGGGUUUGGAUGGACUCGCGGCUUAUCAGCUUGUUGGUGGGGUAGUGGCUUACCAAGGCUUUGACGGGUAGCCGGCCUGCGGGGGCGACCGGCCACAUUGGGACCGAGAAACGGCCCAGACUCCUACGGGGGGCAGGGGGGGGGAAGAUUGCACAAUGGGCGGAAGCCUGAUGCAGCAACGCCGCGGGCGGGAGGACGGCCUUCGGGUUGGAAACCGCUUUCAGCAGGGGCGAAGCUUGUGGUGACGGUACCUGCAGAAGAAGCACCGGCUAACUACGUG
Molecule: ribosomal RNA, 465 nt
Filed under: uncultured bacterium
Lineage: Bacteria
Description: partial 16S ribosomal RNA
Rfam family: Bacterial small subunit ribosomal RNA
Source: RNAcentral